Molecule: long non-coding RNA, 1056 nt
Filed under: Vulpes vulpes (red fox)
Lineage: Eukaryota; Metazoa; Chordata; Mammalia; Carnivora; Canidae
Description: lncRNA (ENSVVUG00000004296.1)
Source: RNAcentral
AUGAGCCCCUCACUCCUUUCCCCUAUGGCUUCCAGGAUAAACUGCAAGCACUUCUUCCACCCCUGCACCCUCGCAGCUUCCUCUUCCACUCUAGCCCGCCACCCCCACCCAGCCCCACUAGCACUUCUACCCCAGCAGCCCUGGCCAACACACCACCUCUACCUGGAAGCCCCCAGGAUCACCUCCACCCCCACCCCCACCCCCCGCGUCCCUAGGCUGCGCCGGCGUCCUCCGGUGCUCUGGGCACCUGGGCUAUUUGGGGCCCCCACUGGUCUGUCUCCCUCCCGCGACACAUCCCGGCGAGCCCCGACGGCUUGGCCCGGUGGUUCGGUUCCCCGCGGUGCCCUCAGGCCUUGGCGCACCCAGGGCUCGGUGGACGUCCGGAGACUGGAUGAAUCCGGAGCCCUCACGGACCUCGCAGCGGAGGCGGAGGCCCCGUGGGUGCAGAGGCGGGGCCGCUCCCCCCAGAGCCCUCCGCCCCCGGACUUCCGCGGCCCGAGUAGUAGCUUGCAACUCGGAAUCCCCUCGCCGGGCCCGCGCGGGGCCGCCUCCUCCCUCGCGUCCUGCCGCCUCCGCCCCUCUCCUCCCUCCCUCCCUCCCUCCCUCCCGCUCUUUGUCUCCCGGCGCCGGCCUCCCCGCCACGCGCCCCCCGCGCCGCCCCUUCCCGGGAGACCCCGCGGAUCCCCGCGGACGCGACGCGACGCGUGUCUGCCCGCCCGGCUGGGGGCCUGCGUCCCGCGGGCCGGAGGGCGGCGGGGCGGGGAGGCAGUUCCCUCCUCCCGCCCUCUCCCUCCCUUCUCCCUCCUCCCCCGCUCACACGCACACACAAACACGCACACACACGCGCGCACACACGCGCACACGCGCGCGCGCACGGAGCAUCCUCCCGUCAGGGCUCUGGUCCAGCCCCGCCCGCGCCUCCCGGUCCCCGCAAACCCUCUCCUCCUCUCCCGCUCCCCUCAUCCCCUCCGCUCCCGGACCCUCCGCGCCCGCGCCCGCCCCUCUCCCGGGAUGGAGCGGCUCGAGCCCGCCCGCAGCCCCCCGCGGCCGGGGUGA